This 436-nucleotide ribosomal RNA is filed under the name uncultured bacterium. Its description in RNAcentral is "bacterial SSU rRNA". It matches the Rfam family "Bacterial small subunit ribosomal RNA", at positions 355 to 787 of the family's 1533-position model. The record is from RNAcentral.
UGAGGAAUAUUGGUCAAUGGGCGGGAGCCUGAACCAGCCAAGCCGCGUGAGGGAUGAAGGCCCUAUGGGUCGUAAACCUCUUUUGUCAGGGAACAAAAGCGAGUAUGUAUACUAGUCUGAGUGUACCUGAAGAAAAACGCAUCGGCUAACUCCGUGCCAGCAGCCGCGGUAAUACGGAGGAUGCGAGCGUUAUCCGGAUUUAUUGGGUUUAAAGGGUGCGUAGGCGGCGAUGCAAGUCAGCGGUAAAACGCCCGGGGCUCAACCCCGGCGAGCCGUUGAAACUGCAGUGCUAGAGAAGGCGAGAGGUACGCGGAAUGCGCAGUGUAGCGGUGAAAUGCUUAGAUAUUGCGCAGAACUCCGAUUGCGAAGGCAGCGUACUGGCGCCUGACUGACGCUGAGGCACGAAAGCGUGGGGAUCGAACAGGAUUAGAUACCC